Molecule: ribosomal RNA, 228 nt
Filed under: uncultured bacterium
Lineage: Bacteria
Description: partial 16S ribosomal RNA
Rfam family: Bacterial small subunit ribosomal RNA
Source: RNAcentral
UGAGAAACCUGCCCUGGACUUGGGAAUAACAGUCGGAAACGUCUGCUAAUACCGAAUACCUUCGUAGCGUCGCAUGGCGCAUCGAAGAAAGCUUUUGCGGUCUGGGAGGGUCUCGCGGCCUAUCAGCUAGUUGGUGAGGUAACGGCUCACCAAGGCAUCGACGGGUAGCUGGUCUGAGAGGGUNAUCGGCCACACUGGGACUGAGACACGGCCCAGACUCCGUACGGG